UCAUCAACUUGAAUGGCAUUGUGGGAGGGAGCAAUAUAUCAUGCGCUUGGAAGAAUAUAAUCACUCUGUCAGAAGGUGGGAGUUGAUCAGUGUUUCUUGUGCGCAUGUCGCCUUUCUACAAUUGCAUGCGAUGGACAUGAUUCAAACAUGUUGGGUUGUCACAAUAAAGUUUUUGAAGAUGAGCCCACAUGGUAGGCCAAAAACCCAGGAGAAGCCAGAUGUAUCAAGAACUAGUUCGAAGAAACCACAGAAGCUGUACGUGAAAGCACAGAGGGCUUUAGGGUGUGGAUUUUGCUCACGACCUGAGCAUAACUGAGGACUUUCGAACUGAGGACACUAUUUGAGUGAUGGCAGAUCAAAGCCACGCAGGAUGGAGUCGGUUACAGCCUGAUUCCCAGUUUGUCGGGAUGGUGCGGGUAAUUAAUCAAGGCCUACAGUGAAGGCAAUCCAGUCCCAUUAGCAGACUAAUUUGAGCAGGUUCAGAGUCAGGUUCAAAGUAUUAUAUGAAAAGAUAAGAUGGAAGCAAAGUUAAAUCACCAUUGCUUUACAGCAGAGACUGGAUACGGUUGAAAACCCUGGAUGAAGCUGGGAAAGUGAAAUUCGUGAACGUUUCAGGCACAUUUCCACUUCUCUCUGGGUGAGAUGCAAAAGUACAUGGACUUGGAGGAUGAAGCUUCGACAGAGAAUGUGGCAACAGAAGCGGAUUGUCAUAGUUGGACCGCAUGGAUUCAGAAUUUGUAUUGAAGAAUGGUUUCAUAUAAUUCUAGAAUUUUUUUCUUUAUUCUAGUUUCAAUUUAACUCGA
Molecule: RNA transcript, 803 nt
Organism: Eucalyptus grandis
Lineage: Eukaryota; Viridiplantae; Streptophyta; Magnoliopsida; Myrtales; Myrtaceae
Exons: 2
Source: RefSeq, a predicted model, not a curated record